UGAGUACGAGAUGCUACGGCAUCGAAGCAGUCUAUGUCAUACUUCCAAGAAAAGCUUGCAAUGUCAUAAACAAAUAAUGCCUGUACCAUAACCGACACAGGUGGGUAGGUAGAGUAUACUAAGGGGCGCGAGAUAACUCUCUCUAAGGAACUCGGCAAAAUGACUCCGUAACUUCGGGAGAAGGAGUGCCUUAUUUUUAUAAGGUUGCAAUAACAAGAUCCAAGCAACUGUUUACCAAAAACACAGGUCUCCGCUAAGUCGUAAGACGAUGUAUGGGGGCUGACGCCUGCCCAGUGCCAGAAGGUUAAAGAAGUUGGUUAGCAUUAGCGAAGCUGAUAACUGAAGCCCUGGUGAACGGCGGCCGUAACUAUAACGGUCCUAAGGUAGCGAAAUUCCUUGUCGGGUAAGUUCCGACCCGCACGAAAGGCGUAAUGAUUUGGAUACUGUCUCGGAGAGGGGCUCGGUGAAAUAGACUUGUCUGUGAAGAUGCGGACUACCUGCACCUGGACAGAAAGACCCUAUGAAGCUUUACUGUAACUUGAGAUUGAAAUUGGACUUUAUCUGCGCAGUAUAGGUGGGAGACGUUGAAAAUAUUCUUGCGGGAAUAUUGGAGUCAUCAGUGAGAUACCACUCUUAUAAUGUUAGAUUUCUAACUUUGUAUCAUUAUCUGGUCAAAGAACAGUUUCAGGCGGGCAGUUUGACUGGGGCGGUCGCCUCCCAAACGGUAACGGAGGCGCACAAAGGUUUCCUCUGAACGUGUAGAAAUCGUAUCUAGAGUGUAAAGGCAUAAGGAAGCUUGACUGUGAGACCUACAAGUCGAGCAUGGACGAAAGUCGGUCUUAGUGAUCUGACGGUGCUGAGUGGAAAGGCCGUCACUCAACGGAUAAAAGUUACUCUAGGAUAACAGGCUGAUCUCCCCCAAGAGUUCACAUCGACGGGGAGGUUUGGCACCUCGAUGUCGGCUCAUCGCAUCCUGGGGCGGUAGUACGUCCCAAGGGUUGGGCUGUUCGCCCAUGAAAGCGGUACGCGAGCUGGGUUCAGAACGUCGUGAGACAGUUCGGUCCAUAUCCGGUGUAGGCGUUAGAAUAUUGAGAGGAGCCUUCUUUAGUACGAGAGGACCGAGAAGGACAUACCUCUGGUGUACCAGUUAUCGUGCCAACGGUAAACGCUGGGUAGCCAUGUAUGGAGAGGAUAACCGCUGAAAGCAUCUAAGUGGGAAGCCCACCUCAAGAUAAGUAUUCC
RNAcentral lists this ribosomal RNA (1242 nucleotides) under metagenome. RNAcentral describes it as "bacterial LSU rRNA". It matches the Rfam family "Bacterial large subunit ribosomal RNA", at positions 1564 to 2814 of the family's 2925-position model. The record is from RNAcentral.